Molecule: long non-coding RNA, 759 nt
Organism: Microplitis mediator
Lineage: Eukaryota; Metazoa; Arthropoda; Insecta; Hymenoptera; Braconidae
Exons: 4
Source: RefSeq, a predicted model, not a curated record
UUGAGAAAGUUAAUUAUAACAAAUACGACGUUAAAAUAAUUAUAAGCUGAUAGUUCGGUAAUUAUUAUGCAUAAGUAUUUAAGGUCAGCAAUUUUGAAUUUAAAUUCAGUUCGCUACCAAAUAGAGUUUAAUAUUUAAAUAAUAAACUUCAGUCACCGGAUCAAAAUGAUGAUUAAGCUUUUCUUGUUGGUUUUAAUUAUCGCAGUGGCUAUCGAUUCAACUGCGGCAAUAUUUGGGUAUUGCAAGGGCCAAAAUGAAUUUUGUCUCCCAAUAAUUGGGUUCACUUGCUGCGCUCCAUUCAACUGCUCUCAUAUGUUCCGCCCAGGAAAGUGCGCGUAAAAAUUAAAUCUACAACUUGAUUGUAAAAACGUCUAAUGUGAAAAGAAAUGAAUAAAUAAAAUAAAUAAAAAAAUUUUUCAAUUUAAAAUUCAAAUUUUCUGUAAAUCAUAAGAAGAAUAAAAAAUGGGAUAAUUUUUUUUUUUUUCAAACGUAAUAAAAAAUAAUGAAAAAUAACUAGUGACAGCAUCGUCAUUAACGCUCAUUUACAGACACACUAUCAUAUGCAGCGAGGAGUCACGUUAGCCACGGGGAGCCGAAAUUUAACUAAAAAAAUUCUAAUUUUUUAUCUAGCCUCGUUUGUUGUAUUUAUUUAUUUUAAAAAUAAAUAAUUUAUUCAUCUUAACAACGGGAAUGAUAAAUCGUUAAACGGGAUUCAACCCUCUGAGGCGUUAAAUUCAAACCACGAACGUCAGGUGGUCA